GACGAACGCUGGCGGCGUGCUUAACACAUGCAAGUCGAACGGAAAGGCCCUGCUUUUGUGGGGUGCUCGAGUGGCGAACGGGUGAGUAACACGUGAGUAACCUGCCCUUGACUUUGGGAUAACUUCAGGAAACUGGGGCUAAUACCGGAUAGGAGCUCCUGCUGCAUGGUGGGGGUUGGAAAGUUUCGGCGGUUGGGGAUGGACUCGCGGCUUAUCAGCUUGUUGGUGGGGUAGUGGCUUACCAAGGCUUUGACGGGUAGCCGGCCUGAGAGGGUGACCGGCCACAUUGGGACUGAGAUACGGCCCAGACUCCUACGGGAGGCAGAAGUGGGGAAUAGUGCACAAUGGGCGGAAGCCUGAUGCAGCAACGCCGCGUGCGGGAUGACGGCCUUCGGGUUGUAAACCGCUUUCGCCUGUGGCGAAGCGUGAGUGACGGUAAUGGGUAAAGAAGCACCGGCUAACUACGUG
This 468-nucleotide ribosomal RNA is filed under the name uncultured bacterium. Its description in RNAcentral is "partial 16S ribosomal RNA". It matches the Rfam family "Bacterial small subunit ribosomal RNA", at positions 28 to 507 of the family's 1533-position model. The record is from RNAcentral.